RNAcentral lists this ribosomal RNA (274 nucleotides) under uncultured bacterium. Its description in RNAcentral is "partial 16S ribosomal RNA". It matches the Rfam family "Bacterial small subunit ribosomal RNA", at positions 523 to 796 of the family's 1533-position model. The record is from RNAcentral.
AUACGGAGGGUGCAGGCGUUAAUCGGAAUUACUGGGCGUAAAGCGUACGUAGGCGGUUAGUUAAGUUAGAUGUGAAAGCCCCGGGCUUAACCUGGGAACUGCAUUUAAAACUGGCUAACUAGAGUUAAGUAGAGGGGAGUGGAAUUUCAGGUGUAGCGGUGAAAUGCGUAGAGAUCUGAAGGAACACCAGUGGCGAAGGCGACUCCCUGGACUUGAACUGACGCUGAGGUACGAAAGCGUGGGUAGCAAACGGGAUUAGAAACCCUAGUAGUCC